UCUCUGAUGGCUCAGACAGUAAAGCGUCUACCUACAAUGUAGAAGACCUGGGUUCGAUCCCUGGCUGGGGAA
This 72-nucleotide transfer RNA is filed under the name Bos taurus (domestic cattle). It matches the Rfam family "tRNA". Rfam says of the family: Transfer RNA (tRNA) molecules are approximately 80 nucleotides in length. Their secondary structure includes four short double-helical elements and three loops (D, anti-codon, and T loops). Lineage: Eukaryota; Metazoa; Chordata; Mammalia; Artiodactyla; Bovidae. RNAcentral also lists the same sequence under 4 other names. The record is from Rfam by way of RNAcentral.